CAAAUGUGGAGAUGACUUCCAGAGGCAAGAAAAAACACUUCACAGAAGAAUGUUUUCUUUCAGGUGAGAGUUCAUGCUUGUGGGUUUGACUCAAAGACAUCUCCCAAAGGACAAGGAAAUGCAGCACAUGGUACAAAAUCCUGCUGGAGACUGUACUACAAUAGUGGCCUUUGGAAACAAGAAAUUUGAUGAUGAUCAUGACCAUGUUGAUCAGUUCUGAAGACAACAAAAUGCCUUCACUUCUUAGCAUAGACCAUCUGGUUUUCAUUUCUUUUGAAAGUGAAAACGCCAUCUUUAUGAAAAUAGUUCAACAGGUGUGUUGUUUUUUACUUCUAUCUUGUUUUCCCCUUAUUUUCUCAGCAGGACAAGUGAUUUCAUUCCUGAAGCAGGAAAAGAAUGUUAAG
RNAcentral lists this long non-coding RNA (404 nucleotides) under Homo sapiens (human). Its description in RNAcentral is "non-protein coding lnc-TWIST1-1:2". Lineage: Eukaryota; Metazoa; Chordata; Mammalia; Primates; Hominidae. The record is from RNAcentral.